Molecule: non-coding RNA, 199 nt
Filed under: Clostridia bacterium
Lineage: Bacteria; Bacillati; Bacillota; Clostridia
Description: 6S RNA
Rfam family: 6S / SsrS RNA
About the family: E. coli 6S RNA was the first non coding RNA to be sequenced, but its function was unknown until recently. It consists of 184 nucleotides that fold into an extended hairpin structure with a large single-stranded internal bulge. The 6S RNA specifically associates with RNA polymerase holoenzyme containing the sigma70 specificity factor.
Source: RNAcentral
AAUUCUCUGCCUUGUGCGUGGACCGAGCUUAUAUAACCCUACAAGAUAAUAAAAAGGGAUUUCUGCUCAGGCGGCGGGAUUGCAGACCUCCCGCGGCGGUGCCGAGUUCGGAAGAAGGGAGCGCGAAACCGCUUGGCGAAAACCCACCUGAACUUAAAGUCAGGUUAUCAUCAAGCCGAUACGGCAAGGCGGAGCAUUA